UGGCACAUGGUUACCCUUGAUGAGAAGGUAGAUCACCGCCAUGGGGUGUCGGGGGCGGAGGUUCAAAUCCUCUCGUGCUGACCA
Molecule: transfer RNA, 84 nt
Filed under: Escherichia coli
Lineage: Bacteria; Pseudomonadati; Pseudomonadota; Gammaproteobacteria; Enterobacterales; Enterobacteriaceae
Also listed under: 1 other name
Description: tRNA-Pro
Source: RNAcentral